GAAUAUUGGACAAUGGGGGAAACCCUGAUCCAGCAAUGCCGCGUGAGUGAAGAAGGCCUUCGGGUUGUAAAGCUCUUUCAGCGGGGAAGAUGAUGACGGUACCCGCAGAAGAAGCCCCGGCUAACUCCGUGCCAGCAGCCGCGGUAAUACGGAGGGGGCUAGCGUUGUUCGGAAUUACUGGGCGUAAAGCGCACGUAGGCGGUGACGCAUGUCAGAUGUGAAAGCCCCGGGCUCAACCUGGGAAUUGCAUUUGAAACUGCGUCGCUCGAGGCCGGAAGAGGGUAGUGGAAUUCCCAGUGUAGAGGUGAAAUUCGUAGAUAUUGGGAAGAACACCAGUGGCGAAGGCGGCUACCUGGUCCGGAUCUGACGCUGAGGUGCGAAAGCGUGGGGAGCAAACAGG
This 400-nucleotide ribosomal RNA is filed under the name uncultured bacterium. RNAcentral describes it as "bacterial SSU rRNA". It matches the Rfam family "Bacterial small subunit ribosomal RNA", at positions 359 to 776 of the family's 1533-position model. The record is from RNAcentral.